GGUCCCAUAGCUCAGUUGGUUAGAGCGUCGUACUAAUAUUACGAUUUCAAGUUGUAAUGUCAGUAAAUGCGAAGGCCGUGAGUUCAAGCCUCACUGGGACCA
Xylaria sp. CBS 124048 is the source of this 102-nucleotide non-coding RNA. The record is from the annotation of a GenBank genome assembly. Lineage: Eukaryota; Fungi; Ascomycota; Sordariomycetes; Xylariales; Xylariaceae.